Molecule: long non-coding RNA, 388 nt
Organism: Phyllostomus discolor (pale spear-nosed bat)
Lineage: Eukaryota; Metazoa; Chordata; Mammalia; Chiroptera; Phyllostomidae
Exons: 2
Source: RefSeq, a predicted model, not a curated record
GAGACGGACCUCUUUAGAUUUCUGGGCGGCUGAGGAACGCGGCUGCAGCUCCGCGGCUGAGCGAGGGGGGUGGGAGGAAUGGCGGGGGAAGGGAAGGUGACUGCCUCGAGAGCCGAGCCGCCCGGCCUCGCCAGCCCGCCGCCGCCUCAGCGUUUGGCCGGGGGCGGGGCCGCAGCCUCGUCCUAGUCCAGCCGCAGCCACCGGCGUCCCUCGAAUAAAUAAGUAAAUAAAAGCAAGUUGCGUCCACCUUUGGAUGACUUACCUCGCGGUCUCCACCCUUUUCUCGGAGGGGCAUUUCAAAUUGCUGUCAUAUAAGGUCAUUUAAGGAGGAGUGAUCACCAAGAGGCACCCAGUAUCUUGUUUAGUCAAUAAAUGAAUGAUGAUCAUG